UACGUAGGGUGCGAGCGUUAAUCGGAAUUACUGGGCGUAAAGCGUGCGUAGGUGGUUCGUUGUGUCUGUGGUGAAAGCCCCGGGCUUAACCUGGGAACUGCGUUUGAAACUGGGGGGCUAGAGUGUGGAAGAGGGGGGUGGAAUUCCAGGUGUAGCGGUGAAAUGCGUAGAUAUCGGAAGGAACACCUGUGGCGAAAGCGGCUCACUGGACCAUAACUGACGCUGAGGCGCGAAAGCUAGGGGAGCAAACAGG
This 253-nucleotide ribosomal RNA is filed under the name uncultured bacterium. Its description in RNAcentral is "partial 16S ribosomal RNA". It matches the Rfam family "Bacterial small subunit ribosomal RNA", at positions 524 to 776 of the family's 1533-position model. The record is from RNAcentral.